CCUACGGGAGGCAGCAGUGAGGAAUAUUGGUCAAUGGGCGCGAGCCUGAACCAGCCAAGUCGCGUGAGGGAGGACGGCCCUACGGGUUGUAAACCUCUUUUGCCGGGGAGCAACGGGCGCCACGUGUGGCGUCACUGAGAGUACCCGGAGAAAAAGCAUCCGCUAAAUCCGUGCCAGCAGCCGCGGUAAUACGGAGGAUGCGAUGGUUAUCCGGUUUUAUGGGGUUUAAAGGGUGCGUAGGCGGAUCGUUAAGUCAGUGGUCAAAUUGAGGGGCUCAACCCCUUCCCGCCAUUGAAACUGGCGUUCUUGAGUGGAAGAGAGGUAUGCGGAAUGCGUGGUGUAGCGGUGAAAUGCAUAGAGAUCACGCAGAACCCCGAUUGCGAAGGCAGCAUGCCGGCUUCCGACUGACGCUGAAGCACGAAAGCGUGGGGAUCGAACAGGAUUAGAUACCCUAGUAGUC
This 460-nucleotide ribosomal RNA is filed under the name uncultured bacterium. RNAcentral describes it as "partial 16S ribosomal RNA". It matches the Rfam family "Bacterial small subunit ribosomal RNA", at positions 338 to 795 of the family's 1533-position model. The record is from RNAcentral.